GAGCACAAUAGAUGGGGGCCACUUGUAAGCAUGGCCCACACGCCUCACCCUCCUUCCUAUGGGCUGAUGUAAAAAUGUUUUGAUUGUGUUCUCUUGACCCAGUUUUGGGACCCUGGCUUGAGGCAGGCCUGUUGCCCUUCUCGAGCAGUGGAUUCAAUCCACACCCCUAACUGCUUCCCUCACUGGGCACCCACACUCUGAGGCGCUAUGCACUGGCUCUCAUUGGCCCAGGGGUAACCCCUAGGUCCCAGAGCCUCCAAAAUUAUUCAGAUGAACUGAUCCACGGGAGCCCAUGGGAUCCAGCUAACUGCGUCCCACCGGCCGGACAUUAGCCGCAGGCUGGAACUCCUGCUUGUUGGGACUCUGCCCCUGGGGACAACCCCCCGUGUGGCCCUGCCUGACAACCUUCUCUCAUCUGGAGCUCGGAGUAGCAGAGAAUUCCGCCCUUCAUUGACCUGAGCAUCACUUGUGUUGGGUCUUGCCACCGUCGAGUCUUAUAAAGCAGCUGAAGACCAGAGGCUCCGGAAAGUCACGAGCUGCAGACAGGCUGCACCAGGCUGUUCCUGAUUUCCCGCCAUCGCAGGAUAUCUGCCGUGGACGUGUCUGGAACACUUACCAGCUCUUCCCACAGACUCGUUGAAGACAGAGACUGUCUCCUCCCCUCCGGUAACCUCCAUUCCUAGCAUGGUGACUGGAACGUGUCGGUACCCAAUAGGACACACUGCACGGCAGCAGAGUGAGCGAGCGAGAGGU
This 753-nucleotide long non-coding RNA is filed under the name Ailuropoda melanoleuca (giant panda). RNAcentral's name for it is "lncRNA (ENSAMEG00000029123.1)". Lineage: Eukaryota; Metazoa; Chordata; Mammalia; Carnivora; Ursidae. The record is from RNAcentral.